Molecule: non-coding RNA, 46 nt
Filed under: Trypanosoma brucei brucei
Lineage: Eukaryota; Euglenozoa; Kinetoplastea; Trypanosomatida; Trypanosomatidae
Source: RNAcentral
AAACUAACGAUCUACGGAUUUAGAGAUGAUGUCAAUGUUAUAUGAU